UCCAGUCCACACCCCUCAGUGCACAGCACAGUAACAAAGACCAGAGCAGAGAAGCUGCUGCAAACAGACGCUGGGGUUGAGGCAACCAGGCACGGAAAGAUAAGCAGCAGGUCGAGGAGGCAGCGGGAUUGAGGAUGAAAGGAGAGACGUGCGGCCGCUCGAGACGUUCCGGAGAGACGCGCAGUUCACCCACGGCACAGAACUUCCUCUGCCAGAGCAGCUCAGAGCAGCAUCCUGUGCCUUGAUGGAAGAAGGCAACAGCUCUGAGCCCAGCCCUGUGCUGCACCAGGGAGAGAUCACAGCUGGGGCAUCUCUGUGAGCUGUACCCACCCUGGUAUAAAUUAGAUGGAAAAAGACAGGAAAACUGAAGCUAAUAUUCCCAGAACAGCCAGGACUUGGAUGUUAUUAACCCCUAUUUUCUCAUUAAAUUCUAGCUUAGACAAACACUUUUCCCUCAUCUAAUGUAACCCAGAGAGAUGAGUCACUUCUCCCCCUUCACAGCUGUCAAAAGCACUGCUGGGCUGUUCCCCCACUGCAGGGAGAGCAGCUUUUCUUUCCUGAGUGCAGCAGCGUGGGAUAGACCAGAGCCCUUCCCUGUGCCCUUUCCCAGAUUUGGUUGUUCACAAGGGAUUGGACUCUGUGAUUCUUGUGGGUCCUUUCCAAUUUGAGAUGUUUGAUGAUUCUGUGAACAAAACCUCCCAUUUUAAGCCUAAAAACCUCAUAAAGGAUCAUACUGGCCACAUCCA
Vidua macroura (Pin-tailed whydah) is the source of this 746-nucleotide long non-coding RNA. RefSeq lists it as uncharacterized. Lineage: Eukaryota; Metazoa; Chordata; Aves; Passeriformes; Viduidae. The transcript has 3 exons. The record is from RefSeq and is a predicted model, not a curated record.